GAUGAACGCUAGCGGCAGGCUUAAUACAUGCAAGUCGUGGGGCAGCAGGUCUGUAGCAAUACAGAUGCUGGCGACCGGCAAACGGGUGCGGAACACGUACACAACUUUCCUUUAAGUGGGGAAUAGCCCAGAGAAAUUUGGAUUAAUACCCCGUAACAUAGUGAAAAGGCAUCUUUUUAUUAUUAUAGCAGCAAUGCGCUUAAUGAUGGGUGUGCGUCUGAUUAGGUAGUUGGCGGAGUAAUAGCCCACCAAGCCUACGAUCAGUAACUGGUGUGAGAGCACGACCAGUCACACGGGCACUGAGACACGGGCCCGACUCCUACGGGAGGCAGCAGUAAGGAAUAUUGGGCAAUGGACGCAAGUCUGACCCAGCCAUGCCGCGUGGAGGAUGAAGGUCCUCUGGAUUGUAAACUUCUUUUAUCUGGGAAGUAAUCCAUCUUUUCUUGGGUGGUUGACGGUACCAGAUGAAUAAGCACCGGCUAACUCCGUGCCAGCAGCCGCCGUAA
Molecule: ribosomal RNA, 506 nt
Filed under: uncultured bacterium
Lineage: Bacteria
Description: partial 16S ribosomal RNA
Rfam family: Bacterial small subunit ribosomal RNA
Source: RNAcentral